ACCACCCCGCCUCCUCCCCUGUCUCCUGGUUCAAAAGCAGCCAGGCCAAAAGAGGACCACACAGCCCCGGCUCAUCGCUCUUUGCCACAGGCUGCUAUCAAGAGAGAGCCAAGAUCCUCCCAAGAUGAAGGGCUUUCUCUUCCUCACCAUCAGCCUCCUGGUUAUGAUUCAGAUACAAACUGGAGUCUUGGGAAACCAGACGGACAGCGCCAGCGGUGCUGCUGCCGAUAUCUGGGCAUUCCACAACGUGGGUGGAGGCAGCUUCCUCUUCUUUUUGACCAACACCCUAAUACACCUCUUCCACCUCAGCUGAGGUGCCUCAGCCCCGGCCCUGGGCCCCCUGAAACAGCUACCACAGUCACUUGCAAGAGAAUUCUCCCUCACUCUUGGGAGGGGUUGAUGUCAGAGAUCACCAGGUUGUAGAAACCAACAGGCAGAGCUGUGGGGGCAAUGGCCAAACUGGGGCAGUACUAAUAUAGUGGAGCAGGCAGCCUCCAGCCAGGGGUCAAUAAAUUUGUCCUCGUACUUGGA
Long non-coding RNA from Nycticebus coucang (slow loris), 531 nucleotides. RefSeq lists it as uncharacterized. The transcript has 2 exons. Lineage: Eukaryota; Metazoa; Chordata; Mammalia; Primates; Lorisidae. The record is from RefSeq and is a predicted model, not a curated record.